UCUUUAUCUUCCUGUGUAUGACAAUCUCUGAAACCCUAGCUUGCUAGUCCCUAUAUAUAAGAAACCCAAACGUGCUGGUUCUCGUUAAGGAUAUGAGAUGAGAGCCAGGGGCGGAUUCAGAUGGUGCGUUUGGUGUGUUGAGGGGAAUGUUGGCUGGCUCGAAGGCUUUUUGAUCACCAAGAGGUUCUCUAAUAUAUUUGGGAACUGCUAAUUACAAAAGGCUUCGGACCAGGCUUCAUUCCUCUCAAACCCACUGUAAUUUUUAGCAUCUGAUCUCUCUCAAAUUAUAAACCGCUUGCUCGUCUUUCUCACAAGUCAAAAGGUACAGUUUUGAUUACAUGUUAUCCGUUAUAUAUAUGCACACGGAAAGCUUGACAGUUUUGAUUACAUAUUAUCUGUUAUAUAUAUGCACACGGAAAGCUUGGCGUUUAGGACGAGAGGAAUGUUGUCUGUUACGAUAUAUUAUCGUUGAGAGAUUCAAAUGUUUUCAUACUCUCGAACCUAAAGAGACGAUUCUCGAAGAGGCUUCAUCCCCUCAUCCAUGUUUAGUUUGCCUUUCGCUUCGUUAUACUUUCAGUUUGAAUAUCAUUUGGAUCUGAAUCUGGCAAGCAGCCUUUGUCUGUUCCACUAUUUUUAGAUUUGCAUCUUCUGGUGUCAGUGUUACAGCACGUCUAUUAAUUGGCUCUUUAAUUUAAGUGAGAGGAGAGUCAGAAAUUGAAGACAGGGGUUGCGCAGCAGAGGCAUCAACGCAAGAGUGAAUGAAAGAAUGGAUGGGGAUGCCGACAUGUGCUGCAACACUUAACGAGAAGUUAAACAGUUGUGUGUACAGUACACCAGAAAGUAGCUACGCAUUCUCUCUCACUCUCUCCUUCUCUCUCUCUCACUUGCAAUAUAAUGUAACACAUACUAGUCCAUGAGGAGCAGGCAAGCAGCAGCCAGCAGCUUUCCAUGAAGAUGAGUGACGACCCAGAAAUCUGCAUGCACGAGCUGAUGUAAAACUAGACCUAGGAAUAAUUAGGGCAACAAAGCGAGAAAAAGGGUGUGCUUUAGUGUAACAAUAAGCAAUGUAUUUAAGGGACUUUCGAAGUCGUUGAAUUAAAAUUCAGAUAAGUGAAGAAAAGUUAACAUGUAUUUUCCGUUGUAUCCGGAAAAAACAAAACAAAAGUUAACAUCUGAAUUAGAGAGAUAUAAAUAUAAUAAUUAAAUGAGGAUUCUCUGUCUGACGGGGUCUUCGGGAAAUGGAACGGAGUGAACAAGUAAGAUGAGCACAGCACCUUGCUUCUCGGGGAUCGCUUCGUUACGAUUUUCAAACAUCGUGUCACACUCUCUCCUUCCACGGGAUUUCAGUCCAAUCUUGAAUUUUUGUCUGUUCAUCUUUUGAAGGAUUUACGUGCCUGUGAUAACAAAAUAGGAUGUAAUAUUUAUGAUUCAUGAGUUUUGAGUCAAUCAUGAUUCAUGAGGUAGGUGAAAGAGCCCAGGAUGAUUCUGCUUUAUCCGCUAGCAUGGCAAUCUUGUCCGAUUAAUUAUAUAAUAUAUAAUAUUUCUCAUC
This is a long non-coding RNA of Prosopis cineraria, 1549 nucleotides long. RefSeq lists it as uncharacterized. The record is from RefSeq and is a predicted model, not a curated record. The transcript is spliced from 2 exons. NCBI's taxonomy places the organism in Eukaryota, Viridiplantae, Streptophyta, Magnoliopsida, Fabales, Fabaceae.